Molecule: long non-coding RNA, 171 nt
Organism: Lycium ferocissimum
Lineage: Eukaryota; Viridiplantae; Streptophyta; Magnoliopsida; Solanales; Solanaceae
Exons: 2
Source: RefSeq, a predicted model, not a curated record
CUCGGGCGAUCCACAGGUCGUUACAUUUUCCUGAAUCAUUGGUUUAAUUGCACAUUUAUAUCUCCCUCACAAUAAGUGAUUUAUGAUAACUCCAUCCAUUAAUCUCAAGGUACACUAUUUGCUACUUAUUUCAAGCAAAAGAAUCUAUUUACCAACAAUUCUUCUAAAUAA